RNAcentral lists this ribosomal RNA (332 nucleotides) under uncultured eukaryote. RNAcentral's name for it is "SSU rRNA". It matches the Rfam family "Eukaryotic small subunit ribosomal RNA", at positions 592 to 923 of the family's 1831-position model. The record is from RNAcentral.
CAAUAGCGUAUAUUAAAGUUGUUGCAGUUAAAAGCUCGUAGUUGGAUUUCUGGCAGGAGCGACCGGUCAUGCACUAUGUGCGUGAACUUGUGUUGUCUCUGGCCAUCCUUGGGGAGAUCCUGUUUGGCAUUAAGUUGUCGGGCAGGGGAUACCCAUCGUUUACUGUGAAAAAUUAGAGUGUUUAAAGCAGGCUUAUGCCGUUGAAUAUAUUAGCAUGGAAUAAUAAGAUAGGACCUCGGUUCUAUUUUGUUGGUUUCUAGAGCUGAGGUAAUGAUUAAUAGGGAUAGUUGGGGGCGAUUCGUAUUUAACUUGUCAGAGGUGAAAUUACUUGG